GAUGAACGCUGGCGGUAUGCUUAACACAUGCAAGUCGUACGAAGAUAAAAUUGUGCUUGCACGAUUUUAUACUUAGUGGCGGACGGGUGAGUAACACGUAAGAAUCUACCUUUUGGCGAGGGACAACCACUGGAAACGGUGGCUAAUACCUCAUAUAAAUGAGAAGUGAAAGAUGAAAAUCACCAAGAGAUGAGCUUGCGUCUGAUUAGCUAGUUGGUAAGGUAAAGGCUUACCAAGGCGACGAUCAGUAGCUGGUCUGAGAGGAUGAUCAGCCACACUGGGACUGAGACACGGCCCAGACUCCUACGGGAGGCAGCAGUGAGGAAUUUUCCGCAAUGGGCGAAAGCCUGACGGAGCAAUACCGCGUGAAGGAUUAAGGCCUAUGGGAAGUAAACUUCUUUUCUCAGAGAAGAAUUUUGACGGUAUCUGAGGAAUAAG
Molecule: ribosomal RNA, 438 nt
Filed under: uncultured bacterium
Lineage: Bacteria
Description: bacterial SSU rRNA
Rfam family: Bacterial small subunit ribosomal RNA
Source: RNAcentral